This 97-nucleotide microRNA precursor is filed under the name Chlorocebus sabaeus (green monkey). RNAcentral describes it as "miRNA (ENSCSAG00000020270.1)". Lineage: Eukaryota; Metazoa; Chordata; Mammalia; Primates; Cercopithecidae. The record is from RNAcentral.
AUGGAGAAUCAUUAGGGUAGUGCAAAAGUAAUUGCGGUUUUUGCCAACAGUUUUAAUAGCAAAAACAACAAUUACUUAUGCAUCAAUCUAAUAGCUU